AAGCAUUCCCACCGAGAGAAGAAUGGGAUCGGAAGUUCCAGCAGGGAACGGAAGUCUCUGGCUGGAAAGGGGAAAUAAGUGACUAUAUCUGGGCUGUAGAGUGGUUGAAUGUUGCCUUUUCCUAAGCCACCCAUGGCUCUGCCCUGCCUCAUCCUGUGCCUAGAAAGACCCCAGACUCAUCUGGCAGAGAGGAGAAGCAGCUGGAUGAGGGGACGACCAUGGCUGGAUGUCAGAGAGAAGCAGCUUGUCUUCAGAGGGACAGCUUAAGGCGUAACUUCUGAGACGAAUCUGGCUGGAGAUAGCUGGACUUCAAGGGAAGACUACAUACCGGCCUGUCCCACCCCCCUCUUUUCAGCUCACCUUCCCUCUGAAAUCCACUUUGAUCAGCAAUAAAAUCCCAGGCAUUUGUCCUUUAA
This 416-nucleotide long non-coding RNA is filed under the name Homo sapiens (human). Its description in RNAcentral is "HSALNT0362957". The record is from RNAcentral. Lineage: Eukaryota; Metazoa; Chordata; Mammalia; Primates; Hominidae.